GAUGGCUCAGGAUGAACGCUAGCUACAGGCUUAACACAUGCAAGUCGAGGGGCAGCGGGAUUGAAGCUUGCUUCAAUUGCCGGCGACCGGCGCACGGGUGAGUAACGCGUAUCCAACCUUCCGUACACUCAGGGAUAGCCUUUCGAAAGAAAGAUUAAUACCUGAUGGUAUGAUGAGAUUGCAUGAUAGCAUCAUUAAAGAUUUAUCGGUGUACGAUGGGGAUGCGUU
RNAcentral lists this ribosomal RNA (228 nucleotides) under uncultured bacterium. RNAcentral's name for it is "partial 16S ribosomal RNA". It matches the Rfam family "Bacterial small subunit ribosomal RNA", at positions 18 to 237 of the family's 1533-position model. The record is from RNAcentral.